Molecule: ribosomal RNA, 253 nt
Filed under: uncultured bacterium
Lineage: Bacteria
Description: partial 16S ribosomal RNA
Rfam family: Bacterial small subunit ribosomal RNA
Source: RNAcentral
GACGAACCGUGCGAACGUUGUUCGGAAUCACUGGGCUUAAAGGGCGCGUAGGCGGGUGACCAAGUCAGGGGUGAAAUCUUUCGGCCCAACCGGAAAAGUGCCUCUGAUACUGGUCGUCUUGAGGGAGGUAGGGGUCGAGGGAACUGGUGGUGGAGCGGUGAAAUGCGUAGAUAUCAGGAGGAACACCGGUGGCGAAGGCGGUUCUCUGGGCCUGUACUGACGCUGAGGAACGAAAGCGUGGGGAGCGAACAGG